Long non-coding RNA from Artibeus jamaicensis (Jamaican fruit-eating bat), 600 nucleotides. RefSeq lists it as uncharacterized. The record is from RefSeq and is a predicted model, not a curated record. NCBI's taxonomy places the organism in Eukaryota, Metazoa, Chordata, Mammalia, Chiroptera, Phyllostomidae. The transcript has 4 exons.
CGGCAGAUCUCCCACAGUAAUUGAAAUGCAAAGAGGAGAGGUGUCUGGAAGGAUAAGCCAUCUGACUGGAGAAAGGGCCAUAAGGGGAAACUAUACCAGAGUGACAUUGUCAAGUCCUUGCUCUGCUGCAGUCCAUGAAGCUGCUUGCUGCACCAGUCAACUCGUCAUCCGGGAGCGGGAGUCUGUGCCCUCAAACAUGUGCUGGUCAGAUAUACCUGGGUCACAGGCAAAGUUUUAGGUGGAACGGUGGCUUGUGGAAUGACGAAGUCCGGGACUCGCUCACUUAACUGAAGCCCCCCCAGUCUAGAAGAAGGACCAGGAGAAAAGGCGAUGCCCAAAAGCCCCGGGCCCAUGAACGCAGAAACACAUCUUCACAAAACCAGACAGAACAACUCCACGGCUGACAUCGGGACCUGAUUCAAAGAUCAAUGACUCCAUACCCCAGCCGCAGCCAAUCAGUUGAGCCCCCGACCCCAACUCCCUUAGCCACCAUGAUUCAUAAUUUUUCCCAUACAUAAUCUGUCUCAGUGCAAACCAUCUGGGAGCCAGUCUUAGAGCAUUAGCUCACCUGUGACCCCAGGCUUGGUGCCAUUUCCUUAA